GACGAACGCUGGCGGCGUGCCUAAUACAUGCAAGUUGAGCGCUGAAGGUUGGUACUUGUACCAACUGGAUGAGCAGCGAACGGGUGAGUAACGCGUGGGGAAUCUGCCUUUGAGCGGGGGACAACAUUUGGAAACGAAUGCUAAUACCGCAUAAAAACUUUAAACACAAGUUUUAAGUUUGAAAGAUGCAAUUGCAUCACUCAAAGAUGAUCCCGCGUUGUAUUAGCUAGUUGGUGAGGUAAAGGCUCACCAAGGCGAUGAUACAUAGCCGACCUGAGAGGGUGAUAGGCCACAUUGGGACUGAGACACGGCCCAAACUCCUACGGGAGGCAGCAGUAGGGAAUCUUAGGCAAUGGACGAAAGUCUGACCGAGCAACGCCGCGGGAGUGAAGAAGGUUUUCGGAUCGUAAAACUCUGUUGGUAGAGAAGAACGUUGGUGAGAGUGGAAAGCUCAUCAAGUGACGGUAACUACCCAGAAAGGGACGGCUAACUACGUG
RNAcentral lists this ribosomal RNA (497 nucleotides) under uncultured bacterium. Its description in RNAcentral is "partial 16S ribosomal RNA". It matches the Rfam family "Bacterial small subunit ribosomal RNA", at positions 28 to 507 of the family's 1533-position model. The record is from RNAcentral.